Molecule: non-coding RNA, 250 nt
Organism: Paralichthys olivaceus (Japanese flounder)
Lineage: Eukaryota; Metazoa; Chordata; Actinopteri; Pleuronectiformes; Paralichthyidae
Source: RefSeq, a predicted model, not a curated record
CAGGUGUGCUGGGGUUUGCUAUGCUAGGAGCUGCUGGUGAUUAGCCUUUAGCAGCUAGCCUCUGGUGGAGAGGAGUCAGCAGAGUUCAGACGUCACACUCGUUUUGGAUCAAGCUCAGUGCUGGUGUUACCUCAAUGAAACACGACCUGUUAAAAACAACCUUCCAUGUCCUGGAUGAACUGAUUCCGAUUCGUUAUGUAACAUAUCAGCUGAUGAGAAGAACCUCAGGCCACCGGUUGCACUGACAUUG